AUUGAACGCUGGCGGCAUGCUUUACACAUGCAAGUCGAACGGUAACAGGGAGCUUGCUCCGCUGACGAGUGGCGAACGGGUGAGUAAUGCAUCGGAACGUACCCAGUCGUGGGGGAUAACGUAGCGAAAGUUACGCUAAUACCGCAUACGUCCUGAGGGAGAAAGCGGGGGACCGUAAGGCCUCGCGCGAUUGGAGCGGCCGAUGUCGGAUUAGCUAGUUGGUAGGGUAAAGGCCUACCAAGGCGACGAUCCGUAGCGGGUCUGAGAGGAUGAUCCGCCACACUGGGACUGAGACACGGCCCAGACUCCUACGGGAGGCAGCAGUGGGGAAUUUUGGACAAUGGGCGAAAGCCUGAUCCAGCCAUGCCGCGUGAGUGAAGAAGGCCUUCGGGUUGUAAACUUCUUUACUACGCGAAUAGAGGUCAGUACGAGAUACUAAUAGGAAGGUAGUGUAGUAAAAAGCACCGGCUAACUCCGUG
RNAcentral lists this ribosomal RNA (479 nucleotides) under uncultured bacterium. RNAcentral's name for it is "bacterial SSU rRNA". It matches the Rfam family "Bacterial small subunit ribosomal RNA", at positions 30 to 507 of the family's 1533-position model. The record is from RNAcentral.